CCUACGGGGGGCUGCAGUGAGGAAUAUUGGUCAAUGGACGAGAGUCUGAACCAGCCAAGUAGCGUGAAGGAUGACUGCCCUAGGGGUUGUAAACUUUUUUUAUAUGGGAGUAAAAUGUUCCACGUGUGGGCUUGUGUAUUUACCAUAUGAAUAAGGAUCGGCUAGCUCAGGUCCAGCAGCCGCGGUAAUACGGAGGAUCCGAGGGUUAUCCGGAUUGGUUGGGUUUAAAGGGAGCGUAGGUGGAUGGUUAAGUCAGUUGUGAAAGUUUGGGGAUCAACCGUAAAAUUGAAGUUGAAACUGGCAGUGUUGAGUACAGUAGAGGUGGGCGGAAUUCGUGGUGUAGCGGUGAAAUGCUUAGAUAUCUCGAAGAACUCCGAUUGCGAAGGCAGCUCACUGGACUGCAACUGACACUGAGGCUCGAAAGUGUGGGUAUCAAACAGGAUUAGAUACCCGAGUAGUC
RNAcentral lists this ribosomal RNA (460 nucleotides) under uncultured bacterium. Its description in RNAcentral is "partial 16S ribosomal RNA". It matches the Rfam family "Bacterial small subunit ribosomal RNA", at positions 338 to 795 of the family's 1533-position model. The record is from RNAcentral.